Molecule: ribosomal RNA, 253 nt
Filed under: uncultured Peptostreptococcus sp.
Lineage: Bacteria; Bacillati; Bacillota; Clostridia; Peptostreptococcales; Peptostreptococcaceae
Description: partial 16S ribosomal RNA
Rfam family: Bacterial small subunit ribosomal RNA
Source: RNAcentral
GGGGUGAGUAACGCGUGGGUAACCUGCCCUAUACACAUGGAUAACAUACUGAAAAGUUUACUAAUACAUGAUAAUAUAUAUUUACGGCAUCGUAGAUAUAUCAAAGUGUUAGCGGUAUAGGAUGGACCCGCGUCUGAUUAGCUAGUUGGUGAGAUAACUGCCCACCAAGGCGACGAUCAGUAGCCGACCUGAGAGGGUGAUCGGCCACAUUGGAACUGAGACACGGUCCAAACUCCUACGGGAGGCAGCAGGA